GCGGGUGUGGCGGAAUUGGCAGACGCACCAGACUUAGGAUCUGGCGCCGCACGGCGUGGGGGUUCGACUUCCUUCACCCGCA
This 82-nucleotide transfer RNA is filed under the name Heyndrickxia coagulans. Its description in RNAcentral is "Bacillus coagulans tRNA-Leu". It matches the Rfam family "tRNA". Rfam says of the family: Transfer RNA (tRNA) molecules are approximately 80 nucleotides in length. Lineage: Bacteria; Bacillati; Bacillota; Bacilli; Caryophanales; Bacillaceae. The record is from RNAcentral.